GUAGAGAGAGAGACAGUAGAGAGAGAGACAGUAGAGAGAGAGACAGUAGAGAGAGACAGUAGAGAGAGAGAGAAGAGAGAGAGAGAGACACAGUAGAGAGAGAGAGGAAGAGAGAGAGAGAGAGACAGUAGAGAGAGACACACAGUAGAGAGAGACACAGUAGAGAGAGAGAGGAAGAGAGAGAGAGAGACAGUAGAGAGAGACACACAGUAGAGAGAGACACACAGUAGAGAGAGAGAGACAGUAGAGAGAGAGAGAGAGACAGUAGAGAGAGACACAGUAGAGAGAGAGAGGAAGAGAGAGAGAGAGAGACAGUAGAGAGAGACACACAGUAGAGAGAGACACACAGUAGAGAGAGACACACAAGAGAGAGAGACACACAGUAGAGAGAGACACACAGUAGAGAGAGACACACAGUAGAGAGAGACACACAGUAGAGAGAGAGAGAGACACACAGUAGAGAGAGACACACAGUAGAGAGAGACACACAGAAGAGAGAGAGAGAGACAGUAGAGAGAGAGAGAGAGACACACAGUAGAGAGAGACACAGUAGAGAGAGAGAGGAAGAGAGGGGUGGGAUAGAGAGAGGGGAAGAGAGAGGGAGGGAGGGAGCAGAAGAAAGGGGGAGUGCUGCUGUUAUGAAUCUCUGAUUCGGUAGUAUUGGAAAUCAAUGUCAAUAUCAGGCCAAUAAAGCGUUGGGACAUUGAUAUUGAGGGUGUCAGUCUUUUCAGUCAGGCAGUGGGGCUGGCUACUCUUGGGUCCUCUUUACUCCGAUGGCGUAUCAUAUAGGCUGCUGCCGACAACGCUAGGACACCAUAGGUAGCCAGGACAAA
This is a long non-coding RNA of Oncorhynchus tshawytscha (Chinook salmon), 833 nucleotides long. NCBI's taxonomy places the organism in Eukaryota, Metazoa, Chordata, Actinopteri, Salmoniformes, Salmonidae. The record is from Ensembl.